This 90-nucleotide non-coding RNA is filed under the name Conticribra weissflogii. Lineage: Eukaryota; Bacillariophyta; Thalassiosirophyceae; Thalassiosirales; Thalassiosiraceae. The record is from RNAcentral.
CUCGUGGCUGCAAAGACGAAGAAGGCUCUCGAGGAGGGUCUGAAGGUUAUGCUCUGCAUUGGAGAAAAGAAGGAAGAGCGUGAGGCUGGA